UUUGUUGUUCUCUUUUUGGCUUGGGGACAAUCACUCUUGUAGUGUCCCGGCUUUUUGCACUCAUAGCAAAUAACUUGGUCCUUCUUGGGUUCAAGUUUAUUUUUAGUGUCAUUCUUAAUCUUGUUUCUUUUAAUGAAUUUUUUAAAUUUUCUUGUUAGAAGUGCCAAGUCAUCGUCACAGUCCUCAUCACUUGAGUUUUCUUUCAAGUGGUCUUCCAAAGUUCUAAGUGUCAUAUCCUUCCUGUUCUUUGGAAGGAUGUCUUCUUGCUCUUCAUGAGCUUUGCAAGUCAUCUCG
This 294-nucleotide long non-coding RNA is filed under the name Musa acuminata (dwarf banana). Its description in RNAcentral is "long non-coding RNA (MACU_LNC007125)". The record is from RNAcentral. Lineage: Eukaryota; Viridiplantae; Streptophyta; Magnoliopsida; Zingiberales; Musaceae.